Molecule: small RNA, 71 nt
Filed under: Lysinibacillus xylanilyticus
Lineage: Bacteria; Bacillati; Bacillota; Bacilli; Caryophanales; Bacillaceae
Description: Bacillaceae-1 RNA
Rfam family: Bacillaceae-1 RNA
Source: RNAcentral
CAUAGAGGAACGAAGGCUAAAAUCAUCACGUCCUGUGAUAACGCCUUUGUGACCAACAUCGGUGCUGUUGC